CGCACGUGGUCACAAUACUACAGUAAACAAUAUGUUCGCACGAAUGAUGCCUGUUCAAGGGAUACACGCCAAAUAGUGACGAAUACGCAGGAAGCUGACCUGAGCUCCCACUGUUUUAUGCAGCGAGAAAAAGAACCGUCGUUCGAUUGACUGCGAGCCGUUCGCCUGUUGUUCGCGUGAUGCUCGAUGUUCACAAUGUUUGUCAACACUUGCUUACAGAGCUUCAAAAGAUCAAAGAAGCCGCUUUUACAGAGGAAUAAAACAGUGAGAACAGUGGAGAUUAGAAGGAACAGGAUUAAUGCCAGGGUUGAGUUCAUGGUCACACUGGAUGGACACCAGGGCCGCAUCCCAAAUGGCUCCUUAAAAUCAUCUCCUCUAAACAGAGGAUAGAACUGGUGACCAGUUGUGAAGCCUUUCUGUGAUCCACCCUGAUGCUGCUCGGUUCUGCUCUGGGUUCGGUUUUGUUUUGGACUCGGUUCUGCUCUGGGUUCGGUUUUUUUCUGGACUCGGUUGUGCUCUGGGGUCGGUUCUGUUCUGGACUCGGUUCUGUUCUGGGUUCGGUUCUGGACUCGGUUCUGUGCGCUGCAGGGAAGCUGAAACACUUACCGAUAAAAG
Silurus meridionalis is the source of this 615-nucleotide long non-coding RNA. RefSeq lists it as uncharacterized. The record is from RefSeq and is a predicted model, not a curated record. The transcript has 3 exons. Lineage: Eukaryota; Metazoa; Chordata; Actinopteri; Siluriformes; Siluridae.